RNAcentral lists this non-coding RNA (30 nucleotides) under Homo sapiens (human). The record is from RNAcentral. Lineage: Eukaryota; Metazoa; Chordata; Mammalia; Primates; Hominidae.
UCGGCGUGUCAUCCACAUGAGAGAGUUGGU